Long non-coding RNA from Manihot esculenta (cassava), 2686 nucleotides. RefSeq lists it as uncharacterized. The record is from RefSeq and is a predicted model, not a curated record. The transcript has 2 exons. Lineage: Eukaryota; Viridiplantae; Streptophyta; Magnoliopsida; Malpighiales; Euphorbiaceae.
CCGCCAAGGAGAUGAAUCCACAAAAGGCUGGCCAUAAACUUGCAAAGACUCACAUAGAGAAUAAAAGCUCGAAAGGGUCUAAAAAUGGCAAAUGUGGGAUCAAAACAAGGAACCUCAUGAGUGAGAUUGGAGGAGCCACUGCACCCCCACAACCCCCUUGAAAUAAGGAAGGGGGUCAGGGCCCUGUCAAUUCCAGCCCCCACCACUUGAAAACUGCUUGUACAGGACGCAACCACCAUGGUUAAUAAGAGGUUCAUUUUCCCAUUCUCAGAAUUGGCUAAUAUUCCCCUUGACAUCUGUAGAUAAAGCGUAACUUUGGUCGCAGUGAGGAUUAAAGAUUUUGGUAAAUUUAGUACCUAGGAUUACGAUGUAUAACUGUUGUUGGUACACAGUCUCUAUCUCUCUACUGACAAAUCUCUUAGCACCAACCAAUCCUUAAAUCUCGUAUUCAUUACCAGUUCAAAUCCCAUUAUCUCUUCUCCUUCUACAGACGAUGAUGAUGAUGAUGAUUACCAAGAUCUAAAUCAACAUUACACCAGUCACUGUUUGCCGAUGGAGCAUCAUCAAGAUUCACAAACUUUAUCUGGGGCUCGUGGGGGUGGAGAACUUGGUGAUAGUGGCUUUUGGUGUGGUCCCUUUUGCUUCAAUCCAAAUAGCCCUUUGAUAUGGGAAUCUUGAUGAUGCUGCAGCGGCAAUAAGUGGCUAAUUUAUCUCCAUUUUCAACAGAUUAUACCCACAAAAUCGAUCCAUAUAUCGAUACAAGCUCCCAAAGAUGAAGGUGAAAUUUAAUAUUCUUCACAAAAUAUGCAACUCUCAGUUGUGAUCUUGAUACUGCUGCUUAUUUCUCUAUACAUUCGUUGAUUUCUUUUUGUUACUAUGCACAAAUACAGAUAGGGUUUUGGGGUUUAAACCCAAAACUUGCACUAGGUUUUAUGGUUACUGUUGACCAUAAUCUUCAACCCAUUUGGUAAUAUAAUGUAAAUCUCUGUGCUUCUAGUGAUUAUAACUUUUCUUUCUUUCUUUUUUUCCUUGAGUUUUCUUUCUCUGACUGGCUUUUCUCAGGAGGUUUUUGUACUGCCACCACCUGAUCUCGCUAGGUAUGUCUGUCCUUUGGCUAACUUCUGUGCCAUAAGAUAUCAUUUCGCUGCUUUUAUUUCUUGGAUCCUCUGGGGCUUAUUUGCUUCUCUAUUUCUUAAUUUUUCUUUAGAUCUUGAUUUUCUAUUUUUUCACUUUGUGAUGGAAUCAUACAGUACUUUUAUUAAGAUCAGUGACACUAUCUCCUCCUUUUCUUUUUCAUUGGUGGGGAAGAUGUACAUGAUUUGUUUGGAAUAUGCAACGAAGUCUCGCCUACAAUCAUUUUGCUUCUGUUUGUGCUCCUGUACAAGAUGAAAAUUAAAUAGAGGUUCCGUAGUCUCCUGGCCUCUUGAGUGAAAAUCUACAGCCUUUCAUGGUGGAUUUUUCAGAUUCGGCUUUUUCUUACUAUUUUUAUCAGUUUAUGUUAUUGUUUACCUUUUGAUUCUCUGGUUUUUUUGAAAUCUUUUGAAUGGAAAAGGGGAAAAAAGGGUUUUCUUAAUUUCUUUUAUUAAAAUUACCAAAAUCAUACAGAAGUUUUUUUUCCAUUUCAUAGAGGCCUAGAGAGUGGACUGUGUGUGUUUGUGUUUCAUUUAUUAAGGACCUGAUUUCAUCUGUUUAUUGUUUAUGGUUUGAUAAAUUUAUUUACCAAAAUUUCAGACCAUAAAUUAUAUUAAUUUUUUUCCUGUGUGGUUCUUUUUGAAGGAAAAUAAAUCAAAUAUUCUGAUAGGCAAAAUGCUAGAUUGAAAGAUUUGACAUUUUCUCUAUUGCCUAUUACAUGAAGUUCCUGCAUUGGUUGCUGUGUAAUUCUUCUCCUCUCGUUGAAAGAACGAACGAGAUUCUAAAUAGGGAGAUAAUAUGCCAUUUAAUAAAUUAUUAUUUUGUAACAUUCAUUGAGCCAUAAACUUUAUGGGACAAAACUCUAAUUGGGUUUUGAUUAUAUGCAGAAAUUGUUUUUAGCUGGUUCAAAAAUUUCCAUCUUUUGUAAUUACAUAUAAAAAGCUAAUAUGAUCAUUGAAAUUUAGUUUAGAAUUGGAAUAACCUUUGAUUAUAUGUGUUAUUUUUCACACUGGACAAACUGUGUUCCAUAUGCCAAAACAGUAGCUUUGAUGAUUUUGUGGCUGACUUCUGAAGGAAUAUAAGCCAAACCAUUCUCUUUUCCAACUCAUGAUCCAGUGAAACUUGAUUCAGUACAAUACAUGUUUCUUUAGCAGCAGAUUACUUUGCAUAUUCAGCUUCUUGUGUGUUCUUCAGCAGUACUAAUUGCUUUGGAUUCUAAAGAAAUUUAUUUUCUGUUGUUAAUAUAGGAAAAGCCCUUUUCUCGGAACUUUGUACUCGGACAACUUUUCAUUAAGACAAAUUAUUUAGUAUGCUUGGUAUACUUAAUCCUUUGCUCACAAAAAUGCAAGUUAUUUUUUUUUUUCAAAUUUAAGGGUUACGAUUUUUUGGGAGUAUACAGUUCAUUGAUUUAUUGUAUAAUUUUCCUUGCAUUUCUCACUAUUAUUUGCUUUGAUUACCCUUUAUGUAGACAAUGUAAAGAAGGGUUUGGUAUUGUUGUAAACAUGAACAAUAGAAUUUGGAAGUUAAUCAGAAGAAAGUUUUAGUUAUGGUUUAA